AUUGAACGCUGGCGGCAUGCCUUACACAUGCAAGUCGAACGGCAGCACGGGUGCUUGCACCUGGUGGCGAGUGGCGAACGGGUGAGUAAUACAUCGGAACAUGUCCUGUAGUGGGGGAUAGCCCGGCGAAAGCCGGAUUAAUACCGCAUACGAUCCACGGAUGAAAGCUGGGGACCUUCGGGCCUCGCGCUAUAGGGUUGGCCGAUGGCUGAUUAGCUAGUUGGUGGGGUAAAGGCCUACCAAGGCGACGAUCAGUAGCUGGUCUGAGAGGACGACCAGCCACACUGGGACUGAGACACGGCCCAGACUCCUACGGGAGGCAGCAGUGGGGAAUUUUGGACAAAGGGCGAAAGCCUGAUCCAGCAAUGCCGCGUGUGUGAAGAAGGCCUUCGGGUUGUAAAGCACUUUUGUCCGGAAAGAAAUCCUUGACUCUAAUACAGUCGGGGGAUGACGGUACCGGAAGAAUAAGCACCGGCUAACUACGUG
RNAcentral lists this ribosomal RNA (486 nucleotides) under uncultured bacterium. Its description in RNAcentral is "partial 16S ribosomal RNA". It matches the Rfam family "Bacterial small subunit ribosomal RNA", at positions 30 to 507 of the family's 1533-position model. The record is from RNAcentral.